CAAAAAACAAUCUCAGUUCAGACUGCAGGCUGCAACUCGCCUGCACGAAGUCGGAAUUGCUAGUAAUCGUAGGUCAGCAUACUACGGUGAAUACGUUCCCGGGCCUUGUACACACCGCCCGUCAAACCAUGAGAGUUGGCAACACCCGAAGUCGGUAGUCUAACCGCAAGGAGGACGCCGCCGAAGGUGGGGUUGAUGAUUAGGGUUAAGUCGUAACAAGGUACC
This 225-nucleotide ribosomal RNA is filed under the name uncultured bacterium. Its description in RNAcentral is "partial 16S ribosomal RNA". It matches the Rfam family "Bacterial small subunit ribosomal RNA", at positions 1276 to 1500 of the family's 1533-position model. The record is from RNAcentral.